UAUAUGACUCUCGGCAAUGGAUAUCUCGGCUCUUGCAUCGAUGAAGAGCGCAGCGAAAUGCGAUACGUGGUGCGAAUUGCAGAAUCCCGCGAACCAUCGAGUCUUUGAACGCAAGUUGCGCCCGAGGCCAACCGGCUGAGGGCACGUCCGCCUGGGCGUCAAAC
RNAcentral lists this ribosomal RNA (164 nucleotides) under Porpax reticulata. Its description in RNAcentral is "5.8S ribosomal RNA". It matches the Rfam family "5.8S ribosomal RNA". Rfam says of the family: 5.8S ribosomal RNA (5.8S rRNA) is a component of the large subunit of the eukaryotic ribosome. It is transcribed by RNA polymerase I as part of the 45S precursor that also contains 18S and 28S rRNA. Lineage: Eukaryota; Viridiplantae; Streptophyta; Magnoliopsida; Asparagales; Orchidaceae. The record is from RNAcentral.